UGAUUAAACUCAACAAACAUUAAUUAUUAUCUGCUUCUAAAAGUGCUGCUGCUCAGCUUCUGCACUGCACGACCAAAUUUUGGGAACAGGCAACGCGCUGUGUCUGUGUGUGCUUGCUUCUAAAGGACUCGAACGAAGAGUGUAUAUAUGUAUAUAUGCAUAUAAAUACACCCACCACCGUCCACACGUUUCUCACGGAUCUUGGAAUUCUGCCUGCUCCUCCGCCGGAACCCACCGCCACGUCACCCCAAAUUUUUUCGGCCAUCGGAUCCUCCGUCGGAUGGUCCUGAUUUGUUGGGUCAGAUUUUACCAGAAUCUGAUUCUCCUACUUCAACUUACCUUCUUGGCUUUUUCUUAGCUUCUUUCUGGCUUCUUCCACUUCUCAUUGGAAUCCACCCAAAUAGAUAUAUACUCAGUUUUGGCUUCACUUCCCGAAAGCUUCUCUUCCCCUCCUCUCUCUUCCUCGUGUUCGCUCUCUCUCGCUCUCCCUCUUCGACGCGUGCAGGGGGCGACGGCGGCUGCGUGCGUCUUCGGCGGCGGCUGGCGCAACGGCGGCGCCCACCAUCCUCCUCCUACCCAGCCCUCCCUCGCCUGCCUCUCAUCUCCGUCUCUCCCUCCCCUUCCUCUCUCUCUCUCUCUCUCUCUCUCUCUUCCAUUCUCUUCCCUUCCCUUUUGAGAUGGCUGCUGCUACGAGGCGGCGGUGGUGGCCAGGGGCAGCCGGCGUGGUUGGAGCCUAGCACCCCCUCUCCCACAUCUUGCGUGCGGAGCACCUGGACACCUUCUCCCUCUGCUCUGUUUGCUCGUGUGCUACAGGUGCUACAGGAAACCCUAGCUGCCUAUUUUCGAGCAGGUCGCGUUCAUUCUAUUGGUUCAGUUGUUGAUCAGUUUGAUUAGUUCAUGGUUUGUUCUGUGAGUUCCGAUUUAUUUUGAUGGGUUCAGGUUCGACUUCCAGAUGUGCUGAUCCUGCAAGGUCGUUAGUUUAUGGUUUCAAGUAUGAAUUUAUAUUUGUAUUAGUGGGUUCAGGUUCAAUUUCAUACCUAUUCUAUUUUGAUUGCGUAUAUUAAAUAUGUCCUUAUCCUGCAAUCCAAUAUCCUUAGGCUAACUUUUUUUUGCCUUUAUCAAAUAAAUAGGGGCUUCGUGCUCUGUUUCUGAAUCCUCACAGAUUCAUGAUUUUGAAGUGAAGGUAGCAAAUGUUUUUGCAGGAUUGGCAUUACGUAUUAAAGUGCAAAGUCGUUAGUUUAUGGUUUCAGCUGUGAAUUUAUAGUUGUAUUGAGGUCCAAUUUCAGACAUAUUCUAUUUUGACUAGGAUUGGCACUACGUAUUAAAGUCAGGAUAUUGAAGAAGGCACUAUCUGUUACCUUGCAGCAGACCGGGUAUAUUUUCCCUAACUGCAAAUCCUAUUUCAAAUCCAUAUAUAAUCAGUAAGUCUUCUCAACUAGCAAUGCAUUGGUUUAGUACUAAAUGUUUAAAACUCGCAACUACCGUUGAAUUGUUUUCGUACACUUUCAAGGAAUCCCUUAUUAUUAUACUCUGCAAUACUGAUUGAGCCAUCAAAUAUGUGAUUCAUUUUCCUACUGAAUCCUGCACCAGGUUGGCACACUUUGCCUCUGCUCUUCGCUAAUCAGAGUGGAUUCCAUGAGCAUUCUCUAUUUAUUUCACCUGUGCUAGGACACCAUAUCUACAGUUUGUUGUGAAUCUCGUAUUGAUACACUGCCUAUUGUGAAUCUCGUAUUGAUACGGUGCCUACUUUCCGGUUCAUUCAUCUUGUCCUUUUUUAUAUUGAUUGGUGGAAUGUUGCCACACUUUGCCUCUACAUAUAAGUUAUAGUCUCACAGGAGAUAUGACCACCUAUUGAAUCAGUUCUAUUUUAGCUCAAAGUAAUAUUGUGUCGUGUUAAUUGCAGUACUGUAGUAUCAGGCCUAGCGAUGAUUCAUGAGUUCUCAGCAAAAGAUAAUAGAAAAUGCAUUCAUACCUAUAAAUGCUAGAAGCAUUACAAUUGCUAAAAGUAACCAUAUACAAUUGCCAAGCCAGGAUCAAACCUUAUCGUGGAGGUGGUGGUAUUUUUUUUCAUGAUUCCCUUUCCCACGAGUUCCUUAGUUAUGUAAUAAAAAAAAUUGGUCAAGCUCUAUUUAUUCACGAUAUUCUUCCUAGAGAUGCAGCAAAUUGCUACUGUGUCCAAUUCCAAAGGGUUUAGUGGUCUACCAGGAAUUCUGUGCCUGGCUCAUAUGUUGGGAUGCCUGAUUCCAAAAGGGUUUAGUACUCUAAUGGAAAUUUUAUACCUGCCAGAUAUGUUGGGGAUAGUUUUGGAAGCGUGUCUCUAUUAAAGCUUGGUUUCGCUCAGAUAUAUUGGGGAUAGUUUUGGAAGUGUGUCUCUAUUAAAGCUUGGUUUGGCUCAGAGAAUGCCUAGCAGACAUGCUAGAUGGGAUUCCUUGUACUGAAUCUUGUCGUACAAUGUUGCUAAACUAGAAAUAUAUGUCUACCAUUUUCAAAGCAAAAUUUGUCAAUAAAUCUUAUUUUUUGUAUUUUUUCAGUAAGUGCUUAUAUUUAGAAGGUAGCACUACUCAGACAUUUAUUUAGUUUCCAGAAUAUUUUUUGUCAAAAGAGCAUCCAUAAAUUCAGGUGGAGCACUAAAAUUGUUCCCAUUUUGGAUAAUUAACUUUCGCAAUGAAUCCAUGGUCAGUGCAUUUCAUUUUGCUGCCUGCUUACCUCUAGAUUUAGUCAUUCGGUUGUCCAUUGCUACCUCCCUGUGCAGUUUUUUAAGCCCACUGAAGCUAGCAGUACCAGCUGGUCUACUUUCCAAGAAGUUUAUCUUCUCAGUUACCCUCACCGAACACUCAUAUACCUCUAGGUCAAGGAGGCAAUACCUGAUCAAGUCCAUUUUAGAUAGACCGGACGGGCAUACCUCAUCAUUAAAUAUUGUUACCUCUGCAGCGGCUGCACAGAUUGUUCCAGUUCCAGUAACCAGUUCCAUACAACCAGCAAGUUCACUUGGUACUCCAGAGUACGCAGCCUGAACCACAGCCUGUAUCCUUUGACUGUGGAACUAAAUCGACACCUGCUCCAGCAGCUGUCCCAGAUGAUACACCUCUAAAGGAUCUUAUCACCAAGUCGCCAACAGGAACAUCACACGCUCAUAGGAAACUGUUUCGAGAAAACACUCUCACUGAAAAGGAAACCAUAGCGGAACAAAAUUUGAACGCAAACGGAAUCAUAAGGAUAACCACAAUGGUCCAAUUGAUCCACUACUGCAGGCAAAAGAAAAAAAAGGGAGAUACUUGAAUUUAGAUGAUCUAGACCAAGAGAACAAAAGGUCGAUACUUGAAUUUAGAUGAUCCAGACCAAGAGAACAAAAGGUCUUGCUGCAAAAUAACCAAGAAACUGGUUUCGAGACCCACUGAUUGUAUAAGGCAUUGCAGUAUUAGUUAGUUGAGACUGUCCAAGACUUUCGUAAGCUUAUGUACUCGCUUCUAGGCUUGUCCAGUGUAUAUUAUUCAGGCUAUUAUGCUUUGAUCUCCUGGAUAUUACUUAAGAUGCCCAGGUCCUGUCCAAAAUUUAUAUGCCUAUCUAUUCAUGUACUUGCAAGAAGCAUAUAUGCUACCCGUACUAAUAUACUCCAGUAUGCAUGGAACUCAAUAUGCUAUCAUGUUUUUAAUUUGAA
Sorghum bicolor (sorghum) is the source of this 3658-nucleotide long non-coding RNA. RefSeq lists it as uncharacterized. NCBI's taxonomy places the organism in Eukaryota, Viridiplantae, Streptophyta, Magnoliopsida, Poales, Poaceae. The transcript has 6 exons. The record is from RefSeq and is a predicted model, not a curated record.